RNAcentral lists this ribosomal RNA (1317 nucleotides) under Shigella flexneri. Its description in RNAcentral is "partial 23S ribosomal RNA". It matches the Rfam family "Bacterial large subunit ribosomal RNA", at positions 1 to 1357 of the family's 2925-position model. Lineage: Bacteria; Pseudomonadati; Pseudomonadota; Gammaproteobacteria; Enterobacterales; Enterobacteriaceae. The record is from RNAcentral.
GGUUAAGCGACUAAGCGUACACGGUGGAUGCCCUGGCAGUCAGAGGCGAUGAAGGACGUGCUAAUCUGCGAUAAGCGUCGGUAAGGUGAUAUGAACCGUUAUAACCGGCGAUUUCCGAAUGGGGAAACCCAGUGUGAUUCGUCACACUAUCAUUAACUGAAUCCAUAGGUUAAUGAGGCGAACCGGGGGAACUGAAACAUCUAAGUACCCCGAGGAAAAGAAAUCAACCGAGAUUCCCCCAGUAGCGGCGAGCGAACGGGGAGCAGCCCAGAGCCUGAAUCAGUGUGUGUGUUAGUGGAAGCGUCUGGAAAGGCGUGCGAUACAGGGUGACAGCCCCGUACACAAAAAUGCACAUACUGUGAGCUCGAUGAGUAGGGCGGGACACGUGGUAUCCUGUCUGAAUAUGGGGGGACCAUCCUCCAAGGCUAAAUACUCCUGACUGACCGAUAGUGAACCAGUACCGUGAGGGAAAGGCGAAAAGAACCCCGGCGAGGGGAGUGAAAAAGAACCUGAAACCGUGUACGUACAAGCAGUGGGAGCACGCUUAGGCGUGUGACUGCGUACCUUUUGUAUAAUGGGUCAGCGACUUAUAUUCUGUAGCAAGGUUAACCGAAUAGGGGAGCCGAAGGGAAACCGAGUCUUAACUGGGCGUUAAGUUGCAGGGUAUAGACCCGAAACCCGGUGAUCUAGCCAUGGGCAGGUUGAAGGUUGGGUAACACUAACUGGAGGACCGAACCGACUAAUGUUGAAAAAUUAGCGGAUGACUUGUGGCUGGGGGUGAAAGGCCAAUCAAACCGGGAGAUAGCUGGUUCUCCCCGAAAGCUAUUUAGGUAGCGCCUCGUGAAUUCAUCUCCGGGGGUAGAGCACUGUUUCGGCAAGGGGGUCAUCCCGACUUACCAACCCGAUGCAAACUGCGAAUACCGGAGAAUGUUAUCACGGGAGACACACGGCGGGUGCUAACGUCCGUCGUGAAGAGGGAAACAACCCAGACCGCCAGCUAAGGUCCCAAAGUCAUGGUUAAGUGGGAAACGAUGUGGGAAGGCCCAGACAGCCAGGAUGUUGGCUUAGAAGCAGCCAUCAUUUAAAGAAAGCGUAAUAGCUCACUGGUCGAGUCGGCCUGCGCGGAAGAUGUAACGGGGCUAAACCAUGCACCGAAGCUGCGGCAGCGACGCUUAUGCGUUGUUGGGUAGGGGAGCGUUCUGUAAGCCUGUGAAGGUGUGCUGUGAGGUAUGCUGGAGGUAUCAGAAGUGCGAAUGCUGACAUAAGUAACGAUAAAGCGGGUGAAAAGCCCGCUCGCCGGAAGACCAAGGGUUCCUG